RNAcentral lists this ribosomal RNA (497 nucleotides) under uncultured bacterium. RNAcentral's name for it is "partial 16S ribosomal RNA". It matches the Rfam family "Bacterial small subunit ribosomal RNA", at positions 30 to 507 of the family's 1533-position model. The record is from RNAcentral.
AUUGAACGCUGGCGGCGGGCCUAAUACAUGCAAGUCGAGCGAAUGGAGGAGGCGUUCUCCUGUCUUAAGCUAGCGACGGAUGGGUAAGUAAUAGGAGUAUGCCUUAUAUUUAAGGAUAGCGUCCGUACGCGGACGCGAAGCCCACAUCGGUCAUUAUAUUGAAAGGCAUGGAUCUUCAGACCACAAGCUAUCUGAUGUACCUAAUUGAUGGUACCGAGUUGCAUUAGCUAGUUGGUAAGGUAACGGCUUACCAAGGCUACGAUGCGUAGCCGACCUGAGAGGGUGAUCAGCCACACUGGAACUGAGACACGGUCCAGACUCCUACGGGAGGCAGCAGUAGGGAAUCUUCCGCAAUGGGCGAAAGCCUGACGGAGCAACGCCGCGUGAGUGAUGAAGGUCUUCGGAUCGUAAAACUCUGUUAUUAGGGAAGAACAAAUGUGUAAGUAACUAUGCACGUCUUGACGGUACCUAAUCAGAAAGCCACGGCUAACUACGUG